AGUGAACGCUGGCGGUAGGCCUAACACAUGCAAGUCGAACGGCAGCACAGUAAGAGCUUGCUCUUACGGGUGGCGAGUGGCGGACGGGUGAGGAAUACAUCGGAAUCUACUUUUUCGUGGGGGAUAACGUAGGGAAACUUACGCUAAUACCGCAUACGACCUACGGGUGAAAGCAGGGGAUCUUCGGACCUUGCGCGAUUGAAUGAGCCGACGUCGGAUUAGCUAGUUGGCGGGGUGAAGGCCCACCAAGGCGACGAUCCGUAGCUGGUCUGAGAGGAUGAUCAGCCACACUGGAACUGAGACACGGUCCAGACUCCUACGGGAGGCAGCAGUGGGGAAUAUUGGACAAUGGGCGCAAGCCUGAUCCAGCCAUACCGCGUGGGUGAAGAAGGCCUUCGGGUUGUAAAGCCCUUUUGUUGGGAAAGAAAAGCAGCAGGUUAAUACCCCGCUGCUCUGACGGUACCCAAAGAAUAAGCACCGGCUAACUUCGUG
This 492-nucleotide ribosomal RNA is filed under the name uncultured bacterium. RNAcentral's name for it is "partial 16S ribosomal RNA". It matches the Rfam family "Bacterial small subunit ribosomal RNA", at positions 29 to 507 of the family's 1533-position model. The record is from RNAcentral.